GUGUGGUAUUGCACUUUAUUCUUUUUUGUUAUUCAUUAGUAUGAUUAUUAUCAGUGGUUGUGAUAUAUGGGUGUUAACGGAAGAAGUAAUAUAAUUUCAGUCGGUUGAUUUUAUGAAUUAGAAUGAAAUUAUUUUCUUCUGAAUUGUCUGCCCAUAGAUGGCGUUUAGGUUAAGUGUUUUGUGUGAUUUGGCGGUUAUAUCAUUCGGCACGACAGGGUCUACUCGAUAGGUCACGUUAAUUUUUACAUCCAUG
RNAcentral lists this long non-coding RNA (253 nucleotides) under Mytilus galloprovincialis (Mediterranean mussel). The record is from RNAcentral. Lineage: Eukaryota; Metazoa; Mollusca; Bivalvia; Mytilida; Mytilidae.